AUAAUAAGAACAUCAUGUAUACUAAAAUUGGAAAGAUAUAGAGAUUGGCAUGGCCCCUGCACAAGAAUGACAUACACAUUUGUGAAGUGUUCCAUACUUUU
RNAcentral lists this small nuclear RNA (101 nucleotides) under Catagonus wagneri (Chacoan peccary). The record is from RNAcentral. Lineage: Eukaryota; Metazoa; Chordata; Mammalia; Artiodactyla; Tayassuidae.